Molecule: long non-coding RNA, 1077 nt
Filed under: Bemisia tabaci
Lineage: Eukaryota; Metazoa; Arthropoda; Insecta; Hemiptera; Aleyrodidae
Description: lncRNA ENSASIAIIG008056
Source: RNAcentral
AGCCAGGUCUGGCAAGCGGUGCGGCUAAAAUACACAUAUAAAUUCUAUGCCAGUCUUUAAAUUACGAAGCCGGGGCAGAGCCAGCAUAGGAUGUAGAAGGCAUGCUCUGUCGGCACACCUCGGAGAGAAGUUGCUCACGAGCAUCCAGAUAUUUGCGCCGUACCCUCACUACUGGCGUGUUCGCCUCUGUUGGUGAAGAAUAUUGCGGGGUAUAGGGGGUUCUCAAUUUUGUCCGCGGUCGUACUACAGCAGGAGCGUUAUCGAGGGCUGCUUCCUCCAGCUCCGCGCGUCUCUCGCCGAGUCCGUUAACCCGUCCCGCCGUUCAAAUUUUGAGGACCCCUACAUUAGUCGAAGAGCCCAACGAGUCAUAACCUUACUUUUUAUUAGUGUGUGGGGUCUUCCUAUCCUAACUUUAACCAGUCUGUAUACAUUUAAUGUACAUACUCUCUAUUUUCUAUAUGUUGUCGCGCAUGUUCGAUUCCUGUUUACGCGAAUGCUUCAUUUUUCACUUUUUUCCCUAGGCCAUUUCUGAUUUUAGUUCAAUUUUUAAUUUCGUCCCCACCUCGUCGUGAGGUGGCCGUUGAUCUGAUAAAUUCGUGCCGAGCUUUUCGAGGUUAUUUCGAGUUAGUAGUGAUCUGUUGUUCUCUUUCGUUCGUUGUUAAAGUUUUUUUAUUUUCAGUUAUCGCUGUUUUAACAAAUUCAUAUUCGGUUUAUGUCUCAUGCGCUGUGAUUUUACCCUCUCUCACUGUGGUUCUCUCUCGCUCGGUUCAGCUCAAGGCGUUACGUAAAUUGGCUCUCUUCUCGCUGUGUGUCCGUAUUGAAGCGAUUUUCAAAUCCUCGGGCAUUUUUGUGAGUGUGUUGUGUUGUUCAUCAAAUUCUGUGCAUUUGGAUGUAACCUCCUUAAGUUGUGGCGGGGAAAACAGCGAUUUUACCACCGCCUUUGGGGCGCAAUUGGCUCAUAGAGAAAACGGUGAGUUGAUUUUUUAUUACGAGUUUCUCGAGCUUUAGAGUGUGACGUAAGUAAGUAACCUUUCCGUAUUUUUUUGUGGCUUCGCCGAGAGUCUCCGCAAAUAAUAA